RNAcentral lists this long non-coding RNA (610 nucleotides) under Hordeum vulgare. Its description in RNAcentral is "long non-coding RNA (HVUL_LNC005602)". Lineage: Eukaryota; Viridiplantae; Streptophyta; Magnoliopsida; Poales; Poaceae. The record is from RNAcentral.
AACAUCUCAGGUGGCACCAGCAACAACGAUUAAGCAGUAUCAGUGCUAUUCGAAAACCAAAGCUAGCCAACAAAUAGAUGGAUUUCUCAGGUUUGAACAAUGCAUGCCAAAGUUUAUUUAUUUCAUGAUUUUGUGUUGGUUCAGGAGUCUCGCAUCAUCUGUGAUGGAGCUUUUGAGAGAAUCAGGAUUUGCAGGUAUGUCAUCUGUCGUCUCGUGCUGUUGGUCUAUUAACUGCCAAAUUUGAACGUGGGUAGGACCAUGGUGUGCUAGCCCAAGAAUACUGUGAACGGAGAGAUGAACUUCUUGGAUCCCUGUAUGACCUUGCAAAGCAAAUUAUAGAAGCAAAAAUAUCAGGUUUGGUCUAACUCUACGCCACUAUUUUCUUAAUGUUCUUCUUGCAUUUUUAUAAUUUGCAAGUUCAUCAUGUCUCUUUAUUUCCUUGAGAACAACCAAAGCUAGCCAGCAAAUAGAUCGAUUCCUAAGGUUUUAAACAAUGCAUGCCAAAGUUUAUUUAUUUCAUGAUUCUAUGUUGCUUCAGGAGUCUGGCAUCAACUGUGAUGGAGCUUUUGAGAGAAUCAGGAUCUGCAAGCAUGCCAAUGAAAUCUAAUCU